AUACGGAGGAUGCAAGCGUUAUCCGGAUUUAUUGGGUUUAAAGGGUGCGUAGGCGGAUGAUUAAGCGUGAGGUGAAAUGCCACUGCUCAACAGUGGAACUGCCUCGCGAACUGGUUGUCUUGAAUGCUCCUGCCGUGGGAGGAAUGUGUGGUGUAGCGGUGAAAUGCAUAGAGAUCACACAGAACACCGAUUGCGAAGGCAUCUCACGAAGGGGUGAUUGACGCUGAGGCACGAAAGCGUGGGGAUCAAACAGGAUUAGAUACCCUGGUAGUCCACGCAGUAAACGAUGAUAACUAACCGCUGGGUCGUAGUGAUUCAGUGGCCAAGCGAAAGCGAUAAGUGAUCCACCUGGGGAGUACGACCGCAAGGUUGAAACUCAAAUGAAUUGACGGGG
This 394-nucleotide ribosomal RNA is filed under the name uncultured bacterium. Its description in RNAcentral is "partial 16S ribosomal RNA". It matches the Rfam family "Bacterial small subunit ribosomal RNA", at positions 523 to 918 of the family's 1533-position model. The record is from RNAcentral.